Long non-coding RNA from Dreissena polymorpha, 377 nucleotides. RefSeq lists it as uncharacterized. NCBI's taxonomy places the organism in Eukaryota, Metazoa, Mollusca, Bivalvia, Myida, Dreissenidae. The transcript has 4 exons. The record is from RefSeq and is a predicted model, not a curated record.
CAGACGAGAGAAGACUAUAAAUUACAAGCAGUAACGAUAGGAAAACAAAGUUUUGAAUAUAUUGGAUCAAGUUGUGCAAGGCUCGACAAUGAAGCUGUUUCACCUAGGCGCUGUCAGUUUGCUUGUUGCGAGCAUCUUUAUGACCGCCUCUGCCUACAAAUGGAAAACGCCGGUUGGCCCUGAUAUUUUUUCGAUCCUGAUUUACCUGUUCGUGUUUAUUAUCGUCAUUCGAGUUUUGUUCCCUGAUAAUAACAAGAAAGGCGUCAAUUCAUAUCGGUAAACACUCAAGUUUUGGAGUGAAAGGCCAUUCACCAAUUUAGCUGAUGAUAUAAACUGUUUAUGAGGAAUGUAUCAAUAAAGCUAAAGCAGUAUACCGA